This 301-nucleotide ribosomal RNA is filed under the name uncultured bacterium. RNAcentral describes it as "partial 16S ribosomal RNA". It matches the Rfam family "Bacterial small subunit ribosomal RNA", at positions 509 to 807 of the family's 1533-position model. The record is from RNAcentral.
CAGUAGCCGCGGUAAUACGAAGGGGGCUAGCGUUGUUCGGAAUUACUGGGCGUAAAGGGCGCGUAGGCGGCCAUUCAAGUUAGAUGUGAAAGCCCUGGGCUCAACCCAUAGCCUGCACGAGAAACUACCGGGCUUGAGUAGUGGAGAGGUGAGUGGAAUUUCCGGUGUAGCGGUGAAAUUCGUAGAUAUUCGCAAGAACACCAGUGGCGAAGGCGGCUCACUGGCCCGGAACUGACGCUGAGGUGCGAAAGCGUGGGGAGCAAACAGGAUUAGAUACCCCAGUAGUCCCUGUCUCUUAUAC